UCCCUCCCUCCCUCCCUCCCUCCUUUCUUCUUUCCUUCCGAGCCUGGAACUCCCAGACCUUUACCUCUAAAGCGCUGGGAUAAUAAGUACGUGACCCUCCACCCUUGGCAGUUUUCCUGGCAUCUUUUUCCCUCCUUCAUGUGCUUGGGUGAAAUCUAACUGGCAACUUGUGACAUCACUCAGCCCACGAUCUCAUCCUCCUGGCAAGUGGCACCGUGAGCCAACACCGUGAAAUCCGGCAACCAGUGACUUAACUCAGCCCACACCGAGCCAGAGUUCCCUGGCACCCGGGGUCUUCUCGGGCCAGCGCGGGCCAGAGGGAAGUAAGGGCUCCCCGCGCGAGCUGCAGGUCACCGGGCUGUGGCGCCCUGGAUCUCGCGGCCAUCUCCGCAGACGUCCACGGCUCGCGUGUCCAGGCGGGUAGGGACCGUUACACCCUGCUCAGACACCAGCCUCCCCCGUGGGAGCCGGGCCGCAGCCCUCGAGGCGCUCUUCCUGUCCGCCAAUGGGACCGACCGGACUGGACCGCUAAAGGGAAGCUGUCGGCGGGGCUGUCUCCGAAGACCCACAAACAGACCCUAAAUUCAGGCACAGACGCUCGCAGCAGACUGUAGCUUCAACUCCAGGAGAUCUGACCUCCACAGGAACGGUGCCAAGAACUGGUAUGAGGCAUCCAGAUGCUCACAGGGACACAGACGGAGCACAAGGAAGAAAACCAUUUCUGCAGUGUGCUGGAGUAGCCCAAACCGCUUAGCCAGGGGGCCAGCUGCUUCCAGGCCUGGAUGUUGUCCUUCCGUAGCCACUGUCCAAUGAUCAUCUCCAUGUAAAAGAGGAAGAUCCCCACCACCAGCAGCAGGAUGAGGUACAUCAGCACAAAGCUGCCUGCGGAGGGUGGGAUCUUGCUCAGGUAGCUGGGUGCCCCUCAGCCCUCACACUCCUCCCUGGGGGUCUCAACACCCCUUCCUUAACCUCACAGCAUAGGCUCUGGCUUCACCUCCUCCAUUCUGGUGCACAGGUAUGGGAAACACCACAUGAUGCCAAAUGGAUAUCAUAAGGGUGUAAUCAUUUCAGAAUUUGGGUCUAAGGAUAUGAUGCUUUGGAGAGGGUCUUCUUUUGUUUUCACAGAGUAUGAGACCCUGUGGAUUGCUUCUGUCCCGAUAUGGUAUGAUAGAUCACGCCCUCUUGAAAGGUUUCUGUGAACACCCUCAAAAAAUUACUUCACUCAACUGCCGCCUGAGAUGAGCCUGGCACACAGUUUACACUAUGAAAGACCUAAAUACCAGUGCCCCUGUACAGCAGGAAGUAGUUUGGAGAGAAAUAACUACACCCAUCUUCCCAACUAUUUUUUUUAAUGUUCUUUUACAUUUAAAGGGGGAUAUGAUAUAGAUAUGAAUAAUUUGCAUUGGUAUGGAUUUUAAGGUCAAUUUUGUUAUAUGUAUAUGUAUUUCUGUUCUUGACUAAGGUAUGUGAUUGUGUAGUUCAUUUAAAAAUGUAUAAUUAGAAAAUAUAGGUUGUUAAUGGAUAAUCAUAAUAGUCAAGCUUGUAGUCAUGUUAGUUAGAUUUUCUAGAUAUAUAGAGAUAUAUUUCAGUUAGGUAGGCAUUCUUCAUAUCUUUCAAAGACUACAGAAAAUGGCAUUUAAUAUUUUAAUAACUUAAGGCUUUUUAUGACAAUGAGACACGUCUGCUCCUGGCAGCACCAAUCUACUUCAAGAAGAAGAUGGGCAUUGAAGAGGAUCCUUAUGGAGUUUGAUAGCCAUUUGGGCAAGAAACUGUUCUUGCCUGGACUGUUGCAUAAACUGGACACAAAGAACCCGCAGAGAGAGGACUGCUGAACUUGCGUAAAGGUGAGAUGGUCUUUCGGGGUUCCUGCUUCAUGAAAGAGUCUGUGAGAUAUUCUGCAGGACGCAGCAGAUACUGACUGAACUGUCUUUGAAAUUUCCUGCUUCAUGGAAAAGUCUGCUGGAUACUAUGGGCCUGUAGGCCGAAGAUGGAUGCCCCAACGGUACAAAAGAACUUUGGGUGACUAUCCAGACAGCGAGAUGUCUCUUGUCAUUUCUAGAAUUUAGAAGUUGCUUAUUUCUUGUUUGCUUAGUUAAUAUUAUAUCCUUCUGGAGUCUUUGAUGGAGUUAAAGAAUGGAUAGUUAUAGUUUUCCUUAGUUAUGUUAAAAG
Chionomys nivalis (European snow vole) is the source of this 2169-nucleotide long non-coding RNA. RefSeq lists it as uncharacterized. The transcript has 3 exons. The record is from RefSeq and is a predicted model, not a curated record. Lineage: Eukaryota; Metazoa; Chordata; Mammalia; Rodentia; Cricetidae.